This 393-nucleotide ribosomal RNA is filed under the name uncultured bacterium. RNAcentral describes it as "partial 16S ribosomal RNA". It matches the Rfam family "Bacterial small subunit ribosomal RNA", at positions 523 to 918 of the family's 1533-position model. The record is from RNAcentral.
AUACGGAGGAUCCGAGCGUUAUCCGGAUUUAUUGGGUUUAAAGGGAGCGUAGGUGGACAGUUAAGUCAGUUGUGAAAGUUUGCGGCUCAACCGUAAAAUUGCAGUUGAUACUGGCUGUCUUGCGUGCAGUAGAGGUGGGCGGAAUUCGUGGUGUAGCGGUGAAAUGCUUAGAUAUCACGAAGAACUCCGAUUGCGAAGGCAGCUCACUGGACUGCAACUGACACUGAUGCUCGAAAGUGUGGGUAUCAAACAGGAUUAGAUACCCUGGUAGUCCACACAGUAAACGAUGAAUACUCGCUGUUUGCGAUAUACAGUAAGCGGCCAAGCGAAAGCAUUAAGUAUUCCACCUGGGGAGUACGCCGGCAACGGUGAAACUCAAAUGAAUUGACGGGG